This 443-nucleotide ribosomal RNA is filed under the name uncultured bacterium. RNAcentral describes it as "partial 16S ribosomal RNA". It matches the Rfam family "Bacterial small subunit ribosomal RNA", at positions 338 to 795 of the family's 1533-position model. The record is from RNAcentral.
CCUACGGGUGGCUGCAGUCGGGAAUAUUGGGCAAUGGAGGAAACUCUGACCCAGCAAUACCGCGUGAAGGAUGAAGGUUUUCGGAUUGUAAACUUCUGUUAUAAAGGAAGAAAAAAAUGACGGUACUUUAUAAGUAAGCCCCGGCAAACUAUGUGCCAGCAGCCGCGGUGAUACAUAGGGGGCAAUCGUUUGCCGGAAUGACUGGGUGUAAAGGGUGUGUAGGUGGCUUAUUAAGUUAGGGGGGAAAGUCCGAGGCUCAACUUCGGAACUGCCGUGAAAACUGGGUGGCUUGAGUGUGGGAGAGGUUAGCGGAACUCCUGGUGUAGCGGUGGAAUGCGUAGAUAUUAGGAAGAACAUCAGAGGCGAAGGCGACUAACUGGAACAAUACUGACACUGAAACACGAAAGCGUGGGGAGCAAACAGGAUUAGAUACCCCUGUAGUC